AUUGAACGCUGGCGGCAUGCCUUACACAUGCAAGUCGAACGGCAGCACGGGUGCUUGCACCUGGUGGCGAGUGGCGAACGGGUGAGUAAUACAUCGGAACAUGUCCUGUAGUGGGGGAUAGCCCGGCGAAAGCCGGAUUAAUACCGCAUACGAUCUACGGAUGAAAGCGGGGGACCUUCGGGCCUCGCGCUAUAGGGUUGGCCGAUGGCUGAUUAGCUAGUUGGUGGGGUAAAGGCCUACCAAGGCGACGAUCAGUAGCUGGUCUGAGAGGACGACCAGCCACACUGGAAGUGGGAGGCGGGCCCGCUACCUGCGGGGGGCGGGGGUGGGGAAUUUUGGAGGAAGGGCGAAAACCUGAACCACGAGUGCGGGGGGGGGGAAAAAGGCCUUUUGGUUGUAAAACACUUUUUGUUGGGAAGAAAACUUUGGGGCUAAAACCGGGCGGGGGGGAGGGGACACGAAAAAAAAACCCCCGCUAAACCCGCG
RNAcentral lists this ribosomal RNA (486 nucleotides) under uncultured bacterium. RNAcentral's name for it is "partial 16S ribosomal RNA". It matches the Rfam family "Bacterial small subunit ribosomal RNA", at positions 29 to 507 of the family's 1533-position model. The record is from RNAcentral.